UACGUAGGGUGCAAGCGUUGUCCGGAAUUAUUGGGCGUAAAGAGCUCGUAGGCGGUUUGUUGCGUCGGCUGUGAAAUCCCGAGGCUCAACCUCGGGUCUGCAGUCGAUACGAGCAAACUAGAGUGUUGCAGGGGAGACUGGAAUUCCUGGUGUAGCGGUGAAAUGCGCAGAUAUCAGGAGGAACACCGGUGGCGAAGGCGGCUCUCUGGACCGAUACUGACGCUGAGGCGCGAAAGCGUGGGGAGCAAACAGG
This 253-nucleotide ribosomal RNA is filed under the name uncultured bacterium. Its description in RNAcentral is "partial 16S ribosomal RNA". It matches the Rfam family "Bacterial small subunit ribosomal RNA", at positions 524 to 776 of the family's 1533-position model. The record is from RNAcentral.